RNAcentral lists this long non-coding RNA (230 nucleotides) under Mytilus galloprovincialis (Mediterranean mussel). Lineage: Eukaryota; Metazoa; Mollusca; Bivalvia; Mytilida; Mytilidae. The record is from RNAcentral.
GUAUCUCUUUUUAGCUCACCUGGCCCUAAGGGCCAAGUGAGCUUUUCCCAUCACUUUGCGUCCGGCGUCCGUCGUCGUCCGUCGUCUGUCGUCCGUCGUCCGUCGUCCGUCGUCCGUCGUCGUUAACUUUUACAAAAAUCUUCUCCUCUGAAACUGCUGGGCCAAAUUAAACCAAACUUGGCCACAAUCAUCAUUGGGGUAUUUAGUUUAAAAAAUGUGUGGCGUGACCC